RNAcentral lists this ribosomal RNA (508 nucleotides) under uncultured bacterium. RNAcentral's name for it is "partial 16S ribosomal RNA". It matches the Rfam family "Bacterial small subunit ribosomal RNA", at positions 28 to 507 of the family's 1533-position model. The record is from RNAcentral.
GACGAACGCUGGCGGCGUGCCUAAUACAUGCAAGUCGAACGCUUCUUUCCUCCCGAGUGCUUGCACUCAAUUGGAAAGAGGAGUGGCGGACGGGUGAGUAACACGUGGGUAACCUACCCAUCAGAGGGGGAUAACACUUGGAAACAGGUGCUAAUACCGCAUAACAGUUUAUGCCGCAUGGCAUAAGAGUGAAAGGCGCUUUCGGGUGUCGCUGAUGGAUGGACCCGCGGUGCAUUAGCUAGUUGGUGAGGUAACGGCUCACCAAGGCCACGAUGCAUAGCCGACCUGAGAGGGUGGUCGGCCACACUGGGGCUGAGACACGGCCCAGACUCCUACGGGAGGCAGCAGUAGGGAAUCUUCGGCAAUGGACGAAAGUCUGACCGAGCAACGCCGCGUGAGUGAAGAAGGUUUUCGGAUCGUAAAACUCUGUUGUUAGAGAAGAACAAGGACGUUAGUAACUGAACGUCCCCUGACGGUAUCUAACCAGAAAGCCACGGCUAACUACGUG